RNAcentral lists this ribosomal RNA (496 nucleotides) under uncultured bacterium. Its description in RNAcentral is "partial 16S ribosomal RNA". It matches the Rfam family "Bacterial small subunit ribosomal RNA", at positions 28 to 507 of the family's 1533-position model. The record is from RNAcentral.
GAUGAACGCUGGCGGCGUGCCUAAUACAUGCAAGUCGAGCGAAGAAGCUUGGUGCUUGCCCCUAUUUGGAGAGCGGCGGACGGGUGAGUAACGCGUGGGUAACCUGCCUUUGAGCGGGGGACAACAUUUGGAAACCAAUGCUAAUACCGCAUAACAACUUGAAACAUAAGGUUUAAGAUUGAAAGAUGCAAUUGCUUCACCCAAAGCAGAUCCCGCGUUGUAUUAGCUAGUUGGUGAGGUAAAGGCUGAUCAAGGCGACGAUACGUAGCCGACCUGAGAGGGUGAUGGGCCACACUGGAAUUGAGAAACGGUCCAGGGGCCUACGGGAGGCAGCAGUAGGGAAUCUUGGGGAAUGGGGGAAAGCCUGACGGAGCAAGGCGGAGUGAGUGAUGAAGGUCUUCGGAUCGUAAAACAAUGUAAAUAGGGAAGAACAAACGUUUAAGUAAAUGUUCCCGUCUUGACGGUACCUAAUGAGAAAGCCACGGCUAACUACGUG